GACGAACGCUGGCGGCGUGCUUAACACAUGCAAGUCGUACGGUAAGGCCCUUUCGGGGGUCCACGAGUGGCGCACGGGUGAGUAACACGUGAGUAACCUGCCCACAACUUUGGGAUAACGCUAGGAAACUGGUGCUAAUACUGGAUAUGUGCUCCUGCUGCAUGGUGGGGGUUGGAAAGCUCCGGCGGUUGUGGAUGGACUCGCGGCCUAUCAGCUUGUUGGUGGGGUAGUGGCCUACCAAGGCGGCGACGGGUAGCGGGCCUGAGAGGGUGACCGGCCACAGUGGGACUGAGGUACGGCCCAGACGCCGACGGGGGGCAGAAGUGGGGAAUAUUGCACAAUGGGCGCAAGCCGGAUGCAGAAACGCCGCGUGCGGGAUGACGGCCUUCGGGUUGUAAACCGCUUUCAGCAGGGACGAAGCUUUUUGUGACGGUACCUGCAGAAGAAGCACCGGCUAACUACGUG
Molecule: ribosomal RNA, 465 nt
Filed under: uncultured bacterium
Lineage: Bacteria
Description: partial 16S ribosomal RNA
Rfam family: Bacterial small subunit ribosomal RNA
Source: RNAcentral